This 83-nucleotide small RNA is filed under the name Marmota monax (woodchuck). The record is from RNAcentral. Lineage: Eukaryota; Metazoa; Chordata; Mammalia; Rodentia; Sciuridae.
GCCAGGUGUGGUGACACACACCUGUAAUCCCAGUGGCUCAGGAGGCUGAGGCAGGAGGAUCGAAGGUUCAAAGCCAGCCUCAG